RNAcentral lists this ribosomal RNA (612 nucleotides) under uncultured freshwater bacterium. RNAcentral's name for it is "bacterial SSU rRNA". It matches the Rfam family "Bacterial small subunit ribosomal RNA", at positions 8 to 603 of the family's 1533-position model. The record is from RNAcentral.
AGAGUUUGAUCCUGGCUCAGGACGAACGCUGGCGGCGUGCCUAACACAUGCAAGUCGAACGGAGAAUUAGCAAUAAUUCUUAGUGGCGAACGGGUGAGUAACGCGUGGGCAAUCUGCCCUUCAGUUGGGGACAACAUUCCGAAAGGGGUGCUAAUACCGAAUUCGAUCUUAUAUCCGCAUGGGUAUAAGAUGAAAGAUGGCCUCUGUAUAUGCUAUCGCUGAAGGAUGAGCCUGCGUCUGAUUAGCUAGUUGGUGAGGUAAUGGCUCACCAAGGCGACGAUCAGUAGCCGGUCUGAGAGGAUGAACGGCCACACUGGGACUGAGACACGGCCCAGACUCCUACGGGAGGCAGCAGUGGGGAAUCUUCCGCAAUGGACGAAAGUCUGACGGAGCAACGCCGCGUGAGUGAAGAAGGCCUUCGGGUUGUAAAGCUCUGUUUUUAGGGAAGAACGUGCGAUGUGUGAAUAAUGCAUUGCAAUGACGGUACCUAAAGAGGAAGUCACGGCUAACUACGUGCCAGCAGCCGCGGUAAUACGUAGGUGGCGAGCGUUGUCCGGAAUCAUUGGGCGUAAAGCGCAUGUAGGCGGGAAGAUAAGUCUGUUGUGAAAAUGC